RNAcentral lists this ribosomal RNA (474 nucleotides) under uncultured Planctomycetales bacterium. RNAcentral describes it as "bacterial SSU rRNA". It matches the Rfam family "Bacterial small subunit ribosomal RNA", at positions 366 to 831 of the family's 1533-position model. The record is from RNAcentral. Lineage: Bacteria; Pseudomonadati; Planctomycetota; Planctomycetia; Planctomycetales.
UCGCAAUGCCCGAAAGGGUGACGAAGCGACGCCGCGUGCGGGAAGAAGGCCUCGGGUUGUAAACCGCUGUCGGGAGUUAAGAAAUGUAAGGAUGUUAAUAGCAUCUUUGCUUGACUAAGGCUCCGGAGGAAGCCACGGCUAACUCUGUGCCAGCAGCCGCGGUAAUACAGAGGCGGCAAGCGUUGUUCGGAAUUAUUGGGCGUAAAGAGCACGUAGGCGGCUAUGUAAGUCGGUUGUGAAAGCCUUCCGCUCAACGGGAGAACAGCAUCCGAUACUGCAUGGCUUGAGUGCGGGAGGGGAGAGUGGAACUUCUGGUGGAGCGGUGAAAUGCGUAGAUAUCAGAAGGAACGCCGGCGGCGAAAGCGGCUCUCUGGCCCAUAACUGACGCUGAGUGUGCGAAAGCUAGGGGAGCAAACGGGAUUAGAUACCCCGGUAGUCCUAGCCGUAAACGAUGGGCACUAAGUAGAGGGGUUU